CCUACGGGGUGCUGCAGUAGGGAAUAUUGCUCAAUGGGGGAAACCCUGAAGCAGCAACGCCGCGUGGAGGAUGAAGGUUUUCGGAUUGUAAACUCCUUUUGUUAGAGAAGAUAAUGACGGUAUCUAACGAAUAAGCACCGGCUAACUCCGUGCCAGCAGCCGCGGUAAUACGGAGGGUGCAAGCGUUACUCGGAAUCACUGGGCGGAAAGAGCGCGUAGGCGGGAUAGCAAGUCAGAUGUGAAAUCCUAUGGCUUAACCAUAGAACUGCAUUUGAAACUGUUAUUCUAGAGUAUGGGAGAGGUAGGUGGAAUUCUUGGUGUAGGGGUAAAAUCCGUAGAGAUCAAGAGGAAUACUCAUUGCGAAGGCGACCUGCUAGAACAUAACUGACGCUGAUGCGCGAAAGCGUGGGGAGCAAACAGGAUUAGAUACCCUUGUAGUC
This 440-nucleotide ribosomal RNA is filed under the name uncultured bacterium. RNAcentral's name for it is "partial 16S ribosomal RNA". It matches the Rfam family "Bacterial small subunit ribosomal RNA", at positions 338 to 795 of the family's 1533-position model. The record is from RNAcentral.